GCCGAGCAUGGUGGCAUGUGCCUGUAAGUCCCAGCUACUUGGGAGGCUGAGGCAGAAGAAUUGCUUCAAUCCAGGAGGUGCAGGUUGCAGUGAGCCAAGAUAACGCCACCGCACUCCAGCCUGGGUGACAGAGCGAGACUCCGUCUCCAAAAAAAUAAAAAGUGUAGACUAUAGACAACUAGAAUUUCUAGACUGUCUGGCUUGGGGUAGGUCUGGUUGGGGAUUGGGAGAAUGCUUGGGGGAUUUACUGAGAAGUGGUCACUGUUUCUAUGCUAAGCUCUGUUUUUCACUUAGGUUAUAGGUAUUUGGGUGGCCUUUCAGGCAAUGGAGGUUAUGAGGGAGCUAAGGCCCCUGUGGACCCCUUGGCACCAGCACUGGCAUAGGCCCACUUGCUACCACCAGAACUGAGCACAUAUGGGAGCAUUCACGGGGCUGAUUAAGGAAGGCUUCCUGGAGGAAGGGAGUUUGAGGCAUGUUUGAAAGAAGAAGAGGGGGGAUUAUAAAACACGAAAGUGACAGCAGACAGGUUUAUGUAACAUCCAGGAGCAAGAAUGAGACUCUGAGGGCAUCCAGGACCCACCUUCAUUGUAGGGACAAAAGCACCAAGGUCUCAGCCAGGUGAGGGAGUUUGCCCAAGGCACAGUGACUGAACUGGAACUGGUGCUGCAGGGAGCUGGAAGGAAGGAAGGAAGUCCAAACAGAGGGAACGUGGACAGACUCAGGCACAAGGGCUUAAGGUAGGAGGUGCCCUUGGGGAAAAUGGGUCCUUGGUCUAGUAGCAAGAUUGCAGAGUAUGCAAAGAAGUCGGAGCCAGGGUACAAGGGGCUUAGGCACCUUGCUAGCGAGGAGGCUCAACCCUUAGUGGUGACAGUGGGACAGUCAGUGGAAUGUCCUGAAGCCUCUCUGGAGGCCCUCUGCAGCCCAGGAACACCUAGGAGUGGAGGUUGGGGAGUAGAGUUUGGAAACACCUUAGAAACAAGAUUGGCUGUACCCCGUGACUGUAAAUGGGGACUCGAGUCUAAAGUCUAAGCUCAAGGCAGCAGGGGUAGCCCGAGGUGCCUGCUGCUGCAUGGAAGGGAAGGGAGAGAGCUGGCCAGGCAAGAGUGGGUUCCAGCAAGUUCCUAAUGUAGCAGACAUUUCAUGUUUGUAUUCACUCAUAUUUUCAUUCACAGCUAUGAGCCUAGCAGUGAGGCCCAACUCAGUUUACAAGGCUUGCAAACCAGGUGUCAACUGGCUGCCUGUCAGACAAUGCUUUUAGGUGACCAGAAGGCAAGGAUUUCCCAGUCCCUGGAAACCAGAUGCCCAUCCUCCAUGCAAACAAGUGAGGUGGAGUGUCCGUGCCAGUGCCCACACCUGCCCGGAGGCAGCUGCUCAGCCCUUCUCCUCCCCUCAAGCACUAAUUGUCUGAGUUACGACCCUACUUUGGUGUCUGGCUGCCUACAAGCAAAGUGAGGAGGUCUCCUUCGGUAGAACUGGUGCUGAGCUGAGAAUGGAGCCCUGGCCCGCCCCUUACUUCCAGAGCCUUGGGAGACAUCAUCAACCUCAGCAUCAGCUUCCUCCUCUGGAAAGCAGCCACCCUCUUAAGUAACUGCAAACCAUGCCGGCAAACUGCAAAGUGCUUAAGGCCAGGCAUGAGGACAGGUCAGGAGGCAGGGUUUCGGGCCUGGCAUUCUCAGAGUGGUCUCGGGAAGAACAAACCUGGACACCGAACUGGACAACAGCAGGACUCUGAGCACUUUGGGAGCUGUGUAUGAUGUGUUGCGGGGGUGGGUUGUGUCCAGAUCAAAGGUGGGGAGGCGGUCUAGGCAGCAGCAGGAGGUGUAUUCGAGGUCUGCAGCAAUUCUUGCAGAGCCUGAAUUACAGUGAGGCCCACACCCUCGUCCUGCUGCCCUGGCCUUGGCCAUCUCCCAUGUCAACCUCAUCUUGAUCUUGCCUACCUCCCUCCCCAGAAGCCAGGGGGCCAUUUGGCAUCAGGAACACAGGGAUUAGCUGCACGGCCAGACCCCAGACCCCCGCCCAGGGGUCCCUCUUUGCUCUCCUGGCCAGCCCCACCCCACAGGCACCAACUUGGGCCAAUGCCAGGCCACAGGUCAGACUCCCAGGCCUGGGACUCCUCUGCCCACCCACAACAACCACUGAUGCUCCUCAGCAAGAGCCAACUUCUGGCUCUGAACGCAGCAGCACCCAGGAUACAGCAAGGUGAAUGCUAGGCACUCGUCCCACAGCCUGGGGUGUAGGGGAGGUCAGAGAUACACACAAAUCAAACUCUCUCCUCACUAUAUAUAUAUAUAUAUAUAUAUAUAUAUACACACACACACACACACACACACACACACACACAUACACACAAGCACACCCCACCCACACUCAUUAGGCCUGGAGGGGGGACUUCAGUUCUCCAUCUUUGGCAUCAAUCUAUCAAAGUCAGCUUUUCUGUACGAGACUGCUCGCUCCUUUCUGUACAUGAAUUAAAUAUAUUAUCUGUCUCUGCACUGAGUCACACGACGUUCACAGUACCGUGGGGAGGAGUGGAGGGUGGGGGCCUGAGGUGGGCAGGGCAGGGGGCCUGGGUAGAAAGGCGAG
RNAcentral lists this long non-coding RNA (2583 nucleotides) under Homo sapiens (human). Its description in RNAcentral is "HSALNT0020544". The record is from RNAcentral. Lineage: Eukaryota; Metazoa; Chordata; Mammalia; Primates; Hominidae.